CGGAGGGGCGUAGCGUUGUUCGGAAUUACUGGGCGUAAAGACGCACGUAGGCGGAUCGGAAAGUUGGGGGUGGAAUACCCGGGGCGUCAACCCCGGAACUGCCUUCAAAACUACCGGUCUGGAGUUCGAGAGAGGUGAGUGGAAUUCCGAGUGUAGAGGUGAAAUUCGUAGAUAUUCGGAGGAACACCAGUGGCGAAGGCGGCUCACUGGCUCGAUACUGACGCUGAGGUGCGAAAGCGUGGGGAGCAAACAGGAUU
Molecule: ribosomal RNA, 257 nt
Filed under: uncultured bacterium
Lineage: Bacteria
Description: partial 16S ribosomal RNA
Rfam family: Bacterial small subunit ribosomal RNA
Source: RNAcentral